RNAcentral lists this ribosomal RNA (2929 nucleotides) under Bacillus velezensis. RNAcentral's name for it is "bacterial LSU rRNA". It matches the Rfam family "Bacterial large subunit ribosomal RNA". The record is from RNAcentral. Lineage: Bacteria; Bacillati; Bacillota; Bacilli; Caryophanales; Bacillaceae.
CGGUUAAGUUAGAAAGGGCGCACGGUGGAUGCCUUGGCACUAGGAGCCGAUGAAGGACGGGACGAACACCGAUAUGCUUCGGGGAGCUGUAAGCAAGCUUUGAUCCGGAGAUUUCCGAAUGGGGAAACCCACCACUCGUAAUGGAGUGGUAUCCAUAUCUGAAUACAUAGGAUAUGAGAAGGCAGACCCGGGGAACUGAAACAUCUAAGUACCCGGAGGAAGAGAAAGCAAAUGCGAUUCCCUGAGUAGCGGCGAGCGAAACGGGACCAGCCCAAACCAAGAGGCUUGCCUCUUGGGGUUGUAGGACACUCUGUACGGAGUUACAAAGGAACGAGGUAGAUGAAGAGGUCUGGAAAGGCCCGCCAUAGGAGGUAACAGCCCUGUAGUCAAAACUUCGUUCUCUCCUGAGUGGAUCCUGAGUACGGCGGAACACGUGAAAUUCCGUCGGAAUCCGGGAGGACCAUCUCCCAAGGCUAAAUACUCCCUAGUGACCGAUAGUGAACCAGUACCGUGAGGGAAAGGUGAAAAGCACCCCGGAAGGGGAGUGAAAGAGAUCCUGAAACCGUGUGCCUACAAGUAGUCAGAGCCCGUUAACGGGUGAUGGCGUGCCUUUUGUAGAAUGAACCGGCGAGUUACGAUCCCGUGCAAGGUUAAGCAGAAGAUGCGGAGCCGCAGCGAAAGCGAGUCUGAAUAGGGCGAAUUGAGUACGUGGUCGUAGACCCGAAACCAGGUGAUCUACCCAUGUCCAGGGUGAAGUUCAGGUAACACUGAAUGGAGGCCCGAACCCACGCACGUUGAAAAGUGCGGGGAUGAGGUGUGGGUAGGGGUGAAAUGCCAAUCGAACCUGGAGAUAGCUGGUUCUCUCCGAAAUAGCUUUAGGGCUAGCCUCAAGGUAAGAGUCUCGGAGGUAGAGCACUGAUUGGACUAGGGCCCCUACCGGGUUACCGAAUUCAGUCAAACUCCGAAUGCCGAUGACUUAUCCUUGGGAGUCAGACUGCGAGUGAUAAGAUCCGUAGUCGAAAGGGAAACAGCCCAGACCGCCAGCUAAGGUCCCAAAGUAUACGUUAAGUGGAAAAGGAUGUGGAGUUGCUUAGACAACCAGGAUGUUGGCUUAGAAGCAGCCACCAUUUAAAGAGUGCGUAAUAGCUCACUGGUCGAGUGACUCUGCGCCGAAAAUGUACCGGGGCUAAACGUAUCACCGAAGCUGCGGACUGUUCUUCGAACAGUGGUAGGAGAGCGUUCUAAGGGCUGUGAAGCAAGACCGGAAGGACUUGUGGAGCGCUUAGAAGUGAGAAUGCCGGUAUGAGUAGCGAAAGAGGGGUGAGAAUCCCCUCCACCGAAUGCCUAAGGUUUCCUGAGGAAGGCUCGUCCGCUCAGGGUUAGUCGGGACCUAAGCCGAGGCCGAAAGGCGUAGGCGAUGGAUAACAGGUUGAUAUUCCUGUACCACCUCCUCACCAUUUGAGCAAUGGGGGACGCAGGAGGAUAGGGUAAGCGCGGUAUUGGAUAUCCGCGUCCAAGCAGUUAGGCUGGGAAAUAGGCAAAUCCGUUUCCCGUGAAGGCUGAGCUGUGAUGGCGAGCGAAUUAUAGUAGCGAAGUUCCUGAUUCCACACUGCCAAGAAAAGCCUCUAGCGAGGUGAGAGGUGCCCGUACCGCAAACCGACACAGGUAGGCGAGGAGAGAAUCCUAAGGUGAUCGAGAGAACUCUCGUUAAGGAACUCGGCAAAAUGACCCCGUAACUUCGGGAGAAGGGGUGCUCUGUUAGGGUGCAAGCCCGAGAGAGCCGCAGUGAAUAGGCCCAGGCGACUGUUUAGCAAAAACACAGGUCUCUGCGAAGCCGUAAGGCGAAGUAUAGGGGCUGACGCCUGCCCGGUGCUGGAAGGUUAAGAGGAGCGCUUAGCGUAAGCGAAGGUGCGAAUUGAAGCCCCAGUAAACGGCGGCCGUAACUAUAACGGUCCUAAGGUAGCGAAAUUCCUUGUCGGGUAAGUUCCGACCCGCACGAAAGGCGCAACGAUCUGGGCACUGUCUCAACGAGAGACUCGGUGAAAUUAUAGUACCUGUGAAGAUGCAGGUUACCCGCGACAGGACGGAAAGACCCCGUGGAGCUUUACUGCAGCCUGAUAUUGAAUGUUGGUACAGCUUGUACAGGAUAGGUAGGAGCCUUGGAAACCGGAGCGCCAGCUUCGGUGGAGGCAUCGGUGGGAUACUACCCUGGCUGUAUUGACCUUCUAACCCGCCGCCCUUAUCGGGCGGGGAGACAGUGUCAGGUGGGCAGUUUGACUGGGCGGUCGCCUCCUAAAAGGUAACGGAGGCGCCCAAAGGUUCCCUCAGAAUGGUUGGAAAUCAUUCGCAGAGUGUAAAGGCACAAGGGAGCUUGACUGCGAGACCUACAAGUCGAGCAGGGACGAAAGUCGGGCUUAGUGAUCCGGUGGUUCCGCAUGGAAGGGCCAUCGCUCAACGGAUAAAAGCUACCCCGGGAUAACAGGCUUAUCUCCCCCAAGAGUCCACAUCGACGGGGAGGUUUGGCACCUCGAUGUCGGCUCAUCGCAUCCUGGGCUGUAGUCGGUCCCAAGGGUUGGGCUGUUCGCCCAUUAAAGCGGUACGCGAGCUGGGUUCAGAACGUCGUGAGACAGUUCGGUCCCUAUCCGUCGCGGGCGCAGGAAAUUUGAGAGGAGCUGUCCUUAGUACGAGAGGACCGGGAUGGACGCACCGCUGGUGUACCAGUUGUUCUGCCAAGGGCAUCGCUGGGUAGCUAUGUGCGGACGGGAUAAGUGCUGAAAGCAUCUAAGCAUGAAGCCCCCCUCAAGAUGAGAUUUCCCAUUCCGCAAGGAAGUAAGAUCCCUGAAAGAUGAUCAGGUUGAUAGGUCUGAGGUGGAAGUGUGGCGACACAUGGAGCUGACAGAUACUAAUCGAUCGAGGACUUAACCAAUUU